This 162-nucleotide ribosomal RNA is filed under the name Phacelia gymnoclada. RNAcentral's name for it is "5.8S ribosomal RNA". It matches the Rfam family "5.8S ribosomal RNA". From Rfam's summary of the family: 5.8S ribosomal RNA (5.8S rRNA) is a component of the large subunit of the eukaryotic ribosome. It is transcribed by RNA polymerase I as part of the 45S precursor that also contains 18S and 28S rRNA. The record is from RNAcentral. Lineage: Eukaryota; Viridiplantae; Streptophyta; Magnoliopsida; Boraginales; Hydrophyllaceae.
ACUCUCGGCAACGGAUAUCUAGGCUCUCGCAUCGAUGAAGAACGUAGCGAAAUGCGAUACUUGGUGUGAAUUGCAGAAUCCCGUGAACCAUCGAGUUUUUGAACGCAAGUUGCCCGAAGCCAUUAGGCCGAGGGCACGCCUGCCUGGGCGUCACGCAUCGCG